GUGAGGAAUAUUGCGCAAUGGAGGCAACUCUGACGCAGCCAUGCCGCGUGCAGGAAGAAGGCGCUACGCGUUGUAAACUGCUUUUAACCGGGAAGAAACCCCAGGACGUGUCCUGGGUUGACGGUACCGGAGGAAUAAGCACCGGCUAACUUCGUGCCAGCAGCCGCGGUAAUACGAAGGGUGCAAGCGUUAUCCGGAUUCAUUGGGUUUAAAGGGUGCGUAGACGGAGCGUUAAGUCAGUGGUGAAAUCCUGCAGCUUAACUGUAGACUUGCCAUUGAUACUGGCGCUCUUGAGUGCGCUUGAAGUGGGCGGAAUGUGCCGUGUAGCGGUGAAAUGCUUAGAUAUGGCACAGAACACCAAUUGCGAAGGCAGCUCACUAAGGCGAUACUGACGCUGAGGCACGAAAGCGUGGGGAUCGAACAGGAUUAGAUACCCCUGUAGUCC
Molecule: ribosomal RNA, 445 nt
Filed under: uncultured bacterium
Lineage: Bacteria
Description: partial 16S ribosomal RNA
Rfam family: Bacterial small subunit ribosomal RNA
Source: RNAcentral